This is a long non-coding RNA of Ostrinia nubilalis (European corn borer), 338 nucleotides long. RefSeq lists it as uncharacterized. The transcript has 3 exons. Lineage: Eukaryota; Metazoa; Arthropoda; Insecta; Lepidoptera; Crambidae. The record is from RefSeq and is a predicted model, not a curated record.
UAGCCCCAUAAUAAUCUGCACUUUCGUACCAAUUGUGUCACUGGAAUAAUGUAUAUCGUGAUUAUAUUUUGCCUCUUUAUUAUUGACUGUUUAACUGUGAAAAUCUUAACGUCAUAACUUUGGACAAUGAUUUUAAGAAAAUUGUAGAACUUCAAGAGAAUAUGCCACAUGAUAUGGACGAAAUAGUGCAGAGGAUAAAGACGUUCAAGGUGCUGGUGCACCCUCGCAUCAGCCUGUUCUACCGGCUGCUGAAGAAAAGUGCAAUCGCUCAGUCGGACCGCCUCUCCGACACGCUCUAUGCCCCUCACAAGUACAACUAAGUGAUUCUACCUAAAAAG